UAAUUAAAUUUGGUUAGUUAGAAAAAUUAGCUUUAAAUUCUUUAUAAUUUAUGCCAGAAUUAAAAUAAAUUAGGAGAUUAAAUUUAUUUAAUAAGAAAAUAUUAUUGAGAUUUAAAGCUAUCUCUAGUUAAUUUUGUGCCAGCAACAGCGGUUAUACAAAAAGAGGAUUUUUUUAAUUAAUAUUUUUAAUUUUUAUAAUAAAGUUAUUUAUUAAAAAAUAAGGUGAAAUUUAUUUUUAAGCAUUUUUUUAAAUAUUAAAAAUAAGAAUUCCAACUUAGACUAGGAUUAGAUACCCUAUUAUUAAGAAUAAUAUAUUGUUAGUAUAUAAAUAUUACGAAAACAAAAAAUUAUGGCGGUAUUUUAAGCUUUUCAGAGGAAUUUGCUCUUUAAUGGAUAAAACACCUAAAUCUUACUAAAAUUGGUAAAGCAGCUUGUAUACCACUAUUUAAGUAAUAAUUUGUUAUUAUUACUAAAAAUUAUCAUUAUAAUAAAAGUUAAGUCAAGGUGCAGCAUAAGUUUUAGAAUGAAGUGAAUUACAUUUCUUUUUAGAAAUUUAAAAAUGAAAACAAAAAAUAGGAUUUGAAAGUAAAAUUUUAAUAAAAUGAAAAUUUGAAUUAAGCUCUAAAAUAUGUACAUAUCGCCCGUCGCUCUUUAUUAAAGAUAAGUCGUAACAAAGUUAAAGUACUGGAAAGUGCUUU
RNAcentral lists this ribosomal RNA (698 nucleotides) under Haemaphysalis cornigera. Its description in RNAcentral is "12S ribosomal RNA". Lineage: Eukaryota; Metazoa; Arthropoda; Arachnida; Ixodida; Ixodidae. The record is from RNAcentral.